GCCGCUGUAGCUCAGUUGGUAGAGCAGCGCAUUCGUAAUGCGAAGGUCGCCAGUUCGACUCCGGCCAGCGGCA
RNAcentral lists this transfer RNA (73 nucleotides) under Accumulibacter sp. RNAcentral describes it as "tRNA-Thr". It matches the Rfam family "tRNA". From Rfam's summary of the family: Transfer RNA (tRNA) molecules are approximately 80 nucleotides in length. Their secondary structure includes four short double-helical elements and three loops (D, anti-codon, and T loops). The record is from RNAcentral. Lineage: Bacteria; Pseudomonadati; Pseudomonadota; Betaproteobacteria.